Molecule: ribosomal RNA, 468 nt
Filed under: uncultured bacterium
Lineage: Bacteria
Description: partial 16S ribosomal RNA
Rfam family: Bacterial small subunit ribosomal RNA
Source: RNAcentral
GAUGAACGCUGGCGGCGUGCUUAACACAUGCAAGUCGAACGGUGAAGGCGGAGCUUGCUCUGCUGGAUCAGUGGCGAACGGGUGAGUAACACGUGAGCAAUCUGCCCCUGACUCUGGGAUAAGCGCUGGAAACGGCGUCUAAUACUGGAUACGAGCUGCGAAGGCAUCUUCAGCAGCUGGAAAGAAUUUCGGUCAGGGAUGAGCUCGCGGCCUAUCAGCUUGUUGGUGAGGUAAUGGCUCACCAAGGCGUCGACGGGUAGCCGGCCUGAGAGGGUGACCGGCCACACUGGGACUGGGCCACGGCCCAGACUCCUUCGGGAGGCAGCAGUGGGGGAUAUUGCACAAUGGGCGAAAGCCUGAUGCAGCAACGCCGCGUGAGGGCCGACGGCCUUCGGGUUGUAAACCUCUUUUAGCAGGGAAGAAGCGAAAGUGACGGUACCUGCAGCAACAGCGCCGGCUAACUACGUG